This 427-nucleotide ribosomal RNA is filed under the name uncultured bacterium. Its description in RNAcentral is "partial 16S ribosomal RNA". It matches the Rfam family "Bacterial small subunit ribosomal RNA", at positions 355 to 774 of the family's 1533-position model. The record is from RNAcentral.
UGGGGAAUAUUGCACAAUGGGCGCAAGCCUGAUGCAGCCAUGCCGCGUGUAUGAAGAAGGCCUUCGGGUUGUAAAGUACUUUCAGCGAGGAGGAAGGUGUUGAGGUUAAUAACCUCAGCAAUUGACGUUACUCGCAGAAGAAGCACCGGCUAACUCCGUGCCAGCAGCCGCGGUAAUACGGAGGGUGCAAGCGUUAAUCGGCAUUACUGGGCGUAAAGCGCACGCAGGCGGUCUGUCAAGUCGGAUGUGAAAUCCCCGGGCUCAACCUGGGAACUGCAUUCGAAACUGGCAGGCUAGAGUCUUGUAGAGGGGGGUAGAAUUCCAGGUGUAGCGGUGAAAUGCGUAGAGAUCUGGAGGAAUACCGGUGGCGAAGGCGGCCCCCUGGACAAAGACUGACGCUCAGGUGCGAAAGCGUGGGGAGCAAACA